CAUUCUGCCAAAACAAUGGAAUUUACACCUAACAUUUGGAAGUGCUUCUACCCACAAAUUACUCUAGAGAAGGAACCCAGCAGAGUGGACAAAGGCCCCUCCUUGGAAUCUGGAAAAACAUGAUCUUCUCUCUGAUACCUCCUGGCUACAUGGCUGUGGUCAAAUUACUUAACCUCUCACUGCUGCAGGGGAAAAGACACUUGAAGAUCAAGGGGAAAAAACUGACCAAGGAUUGAAGACUGAACAUAUUCUCCUGGAGGGUUGUACUGAUCUCAGAAAAUACAAGGCAAGGCGCAUUGAAUCAAAGAUGAACAUUAUGAAGAAUAGAAUAUUCAUUAGUACCUUUACCUAUCAUUUCAAUGCUUCAGCUUAAGGAAAGGCAACAUGGAUCCCAAGUCUCAUAUUUAUAGACUGUGUAAUCACGGGCAAGUCACAAACUUUCUUCACCUAUGAAACUGGAUUACCAAUACUUGCAGUAUGAGAAACAACAUGGUAAACUUCAAAAGCCCCAGUUCCUGAGUGUUGUUGGACCCAAGUUAAGAUGUAAUUAGGAAAUAUUUAACAAAAAUAAAUAAAAAC
Molecule: long non-coding RNA, 579 nt
Filed under: Sarcophilus harrisii (Tasmanian devil)
Lineage: Eukaryota; Metazoa; Chordata; Mammalia; Dasyuromorphia; Dasyuridae
Description: lncRNA (ENSSHAG00000027440.1)
Source: RNAcentral